Molecule: non-coding RNA, 71 nt
Organism: Loxodonta africana (African savanna elephant)
Lineage: Eukaryota; Metazoa; Chordata; Mammalia; Proboscidea; Elephantidae
Source: the annotation of a RefSeq genome assembly
ACGUUGAUGGUUCAGUGGUAGAAUUCUUACCUACCAUGCUGGGGACCUGGGUUCGAUUCCCAGUCAAUGCA